RNAcentral lists this long non-coding RNA (2318 nucleotides) under Homo sapiens (human). Its description in RNAcentral is "non-protein coding LINC01747:13". The record is from RNAcentral. Lineage: Eukaryota; Metazoa; Chordata; Mammalia; Primates; Hominidae.
ACUGCUUGCCUCCAAAUCCUUGUCUCAGGCCUGCAUGUGGAGAGAUAAAACCCAGACAAAGAGGCAGACAUGAGCAGAUGAGCUCCCCCGAACAGGAGACAAGUGGGCUGAGAGGUGAAGGAAGAGGAUGAGCUCCAGCAGCCUAAGGGCUAUCCUCUGAAGCAGAGUCACAGAGCCGAGUGUAGCAAGAAAAGGCUCGGUGAUGCCUGGGGAGGCGACGCCGGCAGUCAGAAGAAUCCAAAGGAGCCUUGACAGCGUCACUGCAGACAAACCUGUCUCCACUGACUGCCCUACUCAGACUCUGCCUGUCUGUGGUGGCCCACUCUCCUCGGGGUGGAUCGGCCUAAGAGUUUCAUUAAAAUCAAGGGGACGGGGAUUGUGGGUAGUGUUGGGACCCAGUAAAGCCCUGGGCUUAAUGGAUCAGAACCAAAACCCCAGCUCCACAUGGGCAGCCCUCAGUUUUCAUGGGUCAGCCCUUUCUGAGAAACCCAGCCAGGGAGGAGCACAGGACCAGCAGCAGGGGAUGCUUCUAAACCCAUAUCUCACUGGAUAAGCUCAUCACCUUCCAAGCCUCUGAAGAACAUUUACGUUCCUAUAAGUUUCUGAAGCCACGUUCAAAUCGUAGCUCUACCACCAAUGAGCUGCACGUUGGAGGGGAAGUGAAUUCACCCCAGACCUGAGUUCCACAUCCCUAGACUGGGUGAGAGGGCCUCUGCCCAGGCUCUCCAUGAGGAUGACCUGCACCGUGUGCCUUUAAUGCACUUAGAACAGCAGGUGCCUCAGUAAACGCUCACUGCCAUUCUGCGAUCAUUAUUGCAUUCACUUCCUGGGGCUGCUGCAACAAAGUACCACACCCUGGGGGCGAAAACAACAGACCCUGACCGUGCCGAUGCUGGAAGUCUGAGAUCAAGGUGUGGGCAGGGCUGGUUCCUUCCGAGGACUGUGAGGAAGACUGUUCCACGCCUCUCUGCAGCUCCGGGUGGUUUGCAGGCAACCUUUCCAUUGCUGGCUUUGCAGACACAUCACCCAGUCUCUGCCCUCAUGUUCACAUGGCUCUCUCCCUGUGUGUGUGUGUCUGCGUCCCAGCCUCCCCUGUUUAUAAGGACAUAGUGGCAUUACAUGACUACUAUUACUCUGAUAGGGCCUCAUCUUAACUAACUACAUCUGCAAAUAACCCAUUGCCACAUAAGGUAGCAUUCUGAAGUACUAGGGGCUAGGACAUCAACAUAGGAAUUUGGGGAGCACAUAAUUCAACCCAUGAUAAUGAUUAUCGUGAUUAUUAUUAAGAAUAUAUAACCACUGUAGGAUGAAAGCAAAUACUGUAAAAUCCUACUCAUAGGUUUGCAGGGAUUAAAUGGCAUCACUGGAAAAUUGUCUGACACAAAGAAGGGGUUCAACAAAUGUUGUUUUACUUCCUCACUGUCAGCCUAAAUAUAGAAAGUAUUUGCUCAUUGGCCCGACAGACAAGUUUUGACUUCUAGUUUUAUACCAGCUUUAUGUAUACAUGCUUAUAUGUCGUAUGUGACAUUUUGUACAUAUAAACAUUAGUUCUGCCUUCUAAUGCUAUUUUGAAAUCACCUUUCCCUUGUUAAAGUGUUCUUUUGAAAUUAUAUAAAAUAGCUGAAUAGUAUUUUAAAGCCAAAAUGCUACAAUUUACUUGCCAUGUUUUAUAAUUUGCUUACAUUCAGAUGGUGUACCAUCUUGUGUUCUGUUAUGAAAUAGCACAACCAUGCAUAAAUGACCCUGCCAUCCUACCCCUAGAACUUUAUUUACCAUGAAAUGCCUCCACGUACUUUCAUUUGCAUGUCUUGAGAACUGAACCGUAGACCCCUCUUCCCUGUCAGUGUUGACCAUCGAUAUUUCCUCCCACAUGUGGCUUCUGUUUCUGUCUCUGGGCAGAUUUAUUCUAACCUGCCCUCAAAUCUGUAAGAAGAUUGUUCAUUCCCUAGGGCUAGUCCAAGUCUCCUGGCCUGGUGCUUACUUCAAAUUCACCUAAAUCUGGCAUAAAAGCUUUCAGGACAAGGUGGAUCAAACUGCGCCCUUGUGUGAGUACUCCCUGGACAGAAUGUCUGGUUAUCUUCGGUGUAAGUUAUUUCCCAUGACUCACAAAUAGAAAUCAGGAGAGGAGGGAGGUAGGAGGUGCAAGCCUCUGCAGCUGUCUGGAGAGUCAGCAAAAGGGAGACAGAAUCUUUAGUUACUUCACAUGUGUGACAAUACGCCUAUGUUUUGUUUUAUGUUGUUUAUUUCUUAUGUAACAUUGUUGAGUUAUCAAAUGAAGUGGUGUAUAAAAAUGUCAAAUAAACAGGUUCUCUCCCUUU